RNAcentral lists this ribosomal RNA (727 nucleotides) under Escherichia coli. RNAcentral describes it as "partial 23S ribosomal RNA". It matches the Rfam family "Bacterial large subunit ribosomal RNA", at positions 1019 to 1747 of the family's 2925-position model. The record is from RNAcentral. Lineage: Bacteria; Pseudomonadati; Pseudomonadota; Gammaproteobacteria; Enterobacterales; Enterobacteriaceae.
GAAACAACCCAGACCGCCAGCUAAGGUCCCAAAGUCAUGGUUAAGUGGGAAACGAUGUGGGAAGGCCCAGACAGCCAGGAUGUUGGCUUAGAAGCAGCCAUCAUUUAAAGAAAGCGUAAUAGCUCACUGGUCGAGUCGGCCUGCGCGGAAGAUGUAACGGGGCUAAACCAUGCACCGAAGCUGCGGCAGCGACGCUUAUGCGUUGUUGGGUAGGGGAGCGUUCUGUAAGCCUGUGAAGGUGUGCUGUGAGGCAUGCUGGAGGUAUCAGAAGUGCGAAUGCUGACAUAAGUAACGAUAAAGCGGGUGAAAAGCCCGCUCGCCGGAAGACCAAGGGUUCCUGUCCAACGUUAAUCGGGGCAGGGUGAGUCGACCCCUAAGGCGAGGCCGAAAGGCGUAGUCGAUGGGAAACAGGUUAAUAUUCCUGUACUUGGUGUUACUGCGAAGGGGGGACGGAGAAGGCUAUGUUGGCCGGGCGACGGUUGUCCCGGUUUAAGCGUGUAGGCUGGUUUUCCAGGCAAAUCCGGAAAAUCAAGGCUGAGGCGUGAUGACGAGGCACUACGGUGCUGAAGCAACAAAUGCCCUGCUUCCAGGAAAAGCCUCUAAGCAUCAGGUAACAUCAAAUCGUACCCCAAACCGACACAGGUGGUCAGGUAGAGAAUACCAAGGCGCUUGAGAGAACUCGGGUGAAGGAACUAGGCAAAAUGGUGCCGUAACUUCGGGAGAAGGC